UCUACGGGAGUCAGCAGUGGGGAAUAUUGCACAAUGGGGGAAACCCUGAUGCAGCGACGCCGCGUGAGUGAGGAAGUAUUUCGGUAUGUAAAGCUCUAUCAGCAGGGAAGAAAAUGACGGUACAUGACUAAGAAGCCCCGGCUAACUACGUGCCAGCAGCCGCGGUAAUACGGAGGGGGCAAGCGUUAUCCGGAUUUACUGGGUGGAAAGGGAGCGUAGACGGCUAAUCAAGUCAGAAGUGAAAACCCAGGGCACAACCUUGGGACUGCUUUUGAAACUGAGUAGCUAGAGUGCAGGCGAGGUAAGCGGAAUUCCUAGUGUAGCGGUGAAAUGCGUAGAUAUUAGGAGGAACACCAGUGGCGAAGGCGGCUUACUGGACUGUAACUGACGUUGAGGCUCGAAAGCGUGGGGAGCAAACAGGAUUAGAUACCCGGGUAGUC
Molecule: ribosomal RNA, 440 nt
Filed under: uncultured bacterium
Lineage: Bacteria
Description: partial 16S ribosomal RNA
Rfam family: Bacterial small subunit ribosomal RNA
Source: RNAcentral